CUUUGGGAAACCAAGUGCAAACAGGUGUGGUGGGAAAAUGCUGAUUUGUUUUGUUACUGGUAAGUUUUUAAGCUCCAAACCGGAACAAGGAUAAGGGCCCGGAGUGUAUGCUGCAGGCGGUCGGUUAGGAUCUCCAGCUCCUGAGUCAGCUUGUACUCCUCACGAAACUGCUCGCCCAGCAGCACCAGGUCCCGCGUGGCAUCGUGGAGCGGAAUGUCGCUCAGGACAAAGACAGUGUUGAUGUGGGAAAGAAUGCCGUGGUAGCCGAAGUCAAUGUGCGGGCGGACCAGGGAAAACACCGAAGGGAGGAUGCAGGCGCCGGGCUGGAGCUGAAAAGAGAGGAGAAUGAAAUAACAAUGAACACCCUCCAAAACUGCUGAUUCCGUCAUGUUUGCCAGGGGUUGUACUCAGGCUGAAAGACUGUCCACCUGUGGAUGGACGGUGAUUGUGAAUGGAACAUUGCUUAGGAAAUUAACUCACACCAUCACACAGGUCAUCUAUGUGAAUCACUACACAAACAAAGACCAUAAAAAGAACUACUGUAGAAGACUUGGCAUUUUUUCAGUUAACUUACAGGAAGUAAGAUUGGAUUUAUAUGUCCUUGGACAACACACACCAAGUUGCUCAGGACAUGUGACUAAGAAACACAAAAGAUUUGGCAGCUUUACAAUGUGCAACUGCGUCAGCAAUGCCAUCGCCAGAAUAUUUAUUUAUAUUGAAGCGGAAUGCUUUUUCUAAACAUGACAAAUGCCAUCUAACAAAAGCCCACUUGGAUUGAUGUUCUUCAGACAUAUUUCAUAUGUUUAUUGUCUUGGAGUUUAAUACCUUUGGUCUCUAUUCAUAUUACUGUGUUGAUGCAAAUAUAAGAUUUUUUUUUCCCACAGAAAAAGGUCUGACAUAAGGGGUCAAGAGAAGCAUACAUGCCAACCAACAAGUGGUGCUCCAAAACUUCUCCCCCAGUUCGAGCUUUUCUUCCUGCCGCCCUAUCUCAAAGGCUAUUAGCAAGUUGGCAAACAUCGUAGGCUAAGUUAUGAUGCUAAUUUGAUGAGGCAGUCAUUAAACAACCGUAAGAAAUAAUGUAAUUUCUGGACUACAAGACUUUCCCUUUUUCCCACGCUUUGAACCCUGCGGCCUAUACAAUGUUGCGGCUAAUUUAUGGAUUUUCUGGGUUCACAAGCUAUACACGCCGCCCAUAAAUUUAGCUUCGCCACAUCAGGCCGAGGAACGGGUCAGGGUGGACCAAUUAAAUUGUUCACAUUAAAUCAAACCCACUCACAUGACACAAGCAUUCGGUCAGCCAUUUAACGCGUCACAGACUCACCCUCAUCGACACGACGCUGCCCCAAAGCCGAAGACGAUGGACCCAGCCAUUGACAA
Molecule: long non-coding RNA, 1377 nt
Organism: Nerophis lumbriciformis (worm pipefish)
Lineage: Eukaryota; Metazoa; Chordata; Actinopteri; Syngnathiformes; Syngnathidae
Source: RefSeq, a predicted model, not a curated record